GAGGAAAGAGGGAGGCGUGCCUAAUACAUGCAAGUCGAGCGAACAGACGAGGAGCUUGCUCCUCUGACGUUAGCGGCGGACGGGUGAGUAACACGUGGAUAACCUACCUAUAAGACUGGGAUAACUUCGGGAAACCGGAGCUAAUACCGGAUAAUAUAUUGAACCGCAUGGUUCAAUAGUGAAAGACGGUUUUGCUGUCACUUAUAGAUGGAUCCGCGCCGCAUUAGCUAGUUGGUAAGGUAACGGCUUACCAAGGCAACGAUGCGUAGCCGACCUGAGAGGGUGAUCGGCCACACUGGAACUGAGACACGGUCCAGACUCCUACGGGAGGCAGCAGUAGGGAAUCUUCCGCAAUGGGCGAAAGCUUGACGGGGCAACGCCGCGUGAGUGAUGAAGGUCUUCGGAUCGUAAAACUCUGUUAUUAGGGAAGAACAAAUGUGUAAGUAACUAUGCACGUCUUGACGGUACCUAAUCAGAAAGCCACGGCUAACUACGUG
RNAcentral lists this ribosomal RNA (497 nucleotides) under uncultured bacterium. Its description in RNAcentral is "partial 16S ribosomal RNA". It matches the Rfam family "Bacterial small subunit ribosomal RNA", at positions 28 to 507 of the family's 1533-position model. The record is from RNAcentral.